GGGGGCGAGGAGUUCCAGCUCCCGGUUCCAGAGGAACAGGUGCCAGUGGAUGAACCAGAGCCGGUUCCGGUAGCACCCAUUGCACCUCCAGAAGCGCCUACACUGCGUCCAGAGGCAUUCGAAGAAGCACCCCUGGCAGAGAGAGGCCAGCUGUCAAAGGUGUGGGGCCGGCUUCAGCAGUUUGUCGAUGAGCACGGCAUGUGCACUAUGUCGACGCUGGUCACGCCAGAUGUCUUCAACCGAAGGACAGUGGCCAGCUGCUUCGGAGCACUUUUGCGUCUUCACAAGCGCCGGCUCGUGCAUCUGAGUCAGGAUCACCCGUACGGUCCGAUCGUCAUCGAGGUCAACCAGCAAGAAGAAGGCACCCCGCCAAUGGCCCGCCAUCCCAGCCCUUGAUUGCACUCUGCGUUGUCCCCUGACAUGGAGCCCAACAUUGGCCCAGUAUUUUCUUCAUGUGCCAGUAUAGCCGCCUUAUUUCCUCUUACAGGCAUUGCUAACUUAAGCUCAGUGAUACACUGCGUAACCAGUGGUACAGAACUAGUCAAACUAGCAUAAUUCAUUAAGCAAAAGGCUGCCAUUUGUGAUCUAGUCAUCCGUAUUUGUAUUUUUAGAUUAUAUUGACACUUGCACAAUUUUUGUGCAAGGCUUAUUUCUAUAAGACAGCAUUUAGCCAUUUGCAGUGUUUUUAAAAAUGUCUUGGAAAGGUUUUUAGAUGAGGCUCCUUGAGGUACUUGAACACAUUUUUUAUUAUUUUACGUUCUCUAUUGUUCAGUGUUCAUCUUAUCUUGUGAUAAUUACCGGUGACAAUGCACCUAUACUGCAGCUAGUCAUGUGGAUUUGCCUCAGCAGAUGAGGCCCACCAGUGAUAUUUUCACAGCUUCAAGGUAUAAAGCAUUAUUUUUGGAUGUUGUUAUAUUUAAUAAAGGAAUACUAUAUAC
Molecule: RNA transcript, 938 nt
Organism: Rhipicephalus sanguineus (brown dog tick)
Lineage: Eukaryota; Metazoa; Arthropoda; Arachnida; Ixodida; Ixodidae
Exons: 4
Source: RefSeq, a predicted model, not a curated record